AUGUACGUGGAUGAAUCCGACGGCAACGAGGACGACCUCGUAGGAUCCAGCCACGUUUGUGCGGAAUUUCGCGGGGAUGAAUCUACCCGGCCUCUCGUCCUAUCCGCCGCCGGUAGAGGCAUCCAUGUCCUUGGGGUUGGGUGCGGCAACUCGCGACUCGAAGACAUUUCGUGCAUGUGCUCCCCUGCGCUUGGUGACCAAUACAUCUACUCCGUCGUGAACAUGUGCUUCGUGUCAUACAGGUCGCCGCCAAGGGUUAUGUGCAUUAUUGAUCAGCCAAUCUUGAGAGAGAGAUGGGUUGGCGUGAAUGGGAAGAAAACUACAUUGAAUGGACAAGAAGUAUGCCCUCAACUUUUUCAUGUUUUUUCUUUGCUUUUUCAUGGCAUCGGGAUGCCCACUGCCGACGGUGCUGCGUUGCUACCAAAGGGGCACCCUGCCGCGGCCGGGGACUCACUGCCGUCGAAGCACGACACCUUGCCGUCACGUAUGUUGGGUGUUGUGGUGCUGCAGAUUUGGUAUUGUUGUUCUGUUCACUUAACCCAGUCUGUAGCAUCAGCUUUUCAUGUCGUUUCCUCGCCAACAAAUGUCAUAAUUUAUCACUCUAUGAAGAAUUGCAAGGAGGAGGAUAAUAGAGCAGCAACCAGAGCUGACAAUUGGCCUGUAAAUGCAGCAAAGUUCUCCUAG
RNAcentral lists this ribosomal RNA (684 nucleotides) under Triticum aestivum (bread wheat). RNAcentral describes it as "partial small subunit ribosomal RNA". The record is from RNAcentral. Lineage: Eukaryota; Viridiplantae; Streptophyta; Magnoliopsida; Poales; Poaceae.